ACGCACGUUUCAUCGGCCUGCUUCUCUUGCAUGUGCAAGCAGUGUUGUUUCUGAUGCACUGCACAAAUAGGUGAAGGUUAACUAGCAGUUUAAACUGUAGCACUGGCAGUCUCCUUCAGACAAGU
This is a small nucleolar RNA of Lutra lutra (Eurasian river otter), 125 nucleotides long. The record is from RefSeq and is a predicted model, not a curated record. Lineage: Eukaryota; Metazoa; Chordata; Mammalia; Carnivora; Mustelidae.